Molecule: ribosomal RNA, 627 nt
Filed under: uncultured Methanosaeta sp.
Lineage: Archaea; Methanobacteriati; Methanobacteriota; Methanomicrobia; Methanotrichales; Methanotrichaceae
Description: bacterial SSU rRNA
Rfam family: Archaeal small subunit ribosomal RNA
Source: RNAcentral
UUCUGGUUGAUCCCGCCGGAGGUUACUGCUAUCGAGGUUCGACUAAGCCAUGCGAGUCGAAUGUAGCAAUACAUGGCGUACUGCUCAGUAACACGUGGACAACCUACCCUUAGGUCGGGGAUAAACCCGGGAAACUGGGUAUAAUACCCGAUAGUCCUCGGAUGCUGGAAUGCACCGAGGUCUAAAGCUCCGGCGCCUAAGGAUGGGUCUGCGGCCUAUCAGGUAGUAGUGGGUGUAGCGUACCUACUAGCCUACGACGGGUACGGGUUGUGAGAGCAAGAGCCCGGAGAUGGAUUCUGAGACACGAAUCCAGGCCCUACGGGGUGCAGCAGGCGCGAAAACUUUACAAUGCUGGAAACAGCGAUAAGGGAACCUCGAGUGCCAGGUUACAAAUCUGGCUGUCGUGAUGCCUAAAAAGCAUUGCAUAGCAAGGGCCGGGCAAGACCGGUGCCAGCCGCCGCGGAAACACCGGCGGCUCGAGUGGUAACCGCUAUUAUUGGGUCUAAAGGGUCUGUAGCCGGCCGGAUAAGUCUUUUGGGAAAUCUAGCAGCUUAACUGUCAGGCUUUCAGAGGAUACUGUCUGGCUCGAGGCCGGGAGAGGUGAGAGGUACUCAGGGGUAGGGGGAA